CCUACGGGCGGCAGCAGUGGGGGAUAUUGCACAAUGGGGGGAACCCUGAUGCAGCGACGCCGCGUGGGUGAAGAAGCGCCUCGGCGCGUAAAGCCCUGUCAGCAGGGAAGAAAAUGACGGUACCUGCAGAAGAAGCCCUGGCUAACUAAGUGCCAGCAGCCGCGGGAAUACGUAGGGGGCAAGCGUUAUCCGGAUUUACUGGGUGUAAAGGGGGCACAGACGGCGAUGCAAGCCAGGAGUGAAAGCCCGGGGCCCAACCCCGGGACUGCUCGUGGAACUGCGUGGCUGGAGUGCAGGAGGGGCAGGCGGAAUUCCUGGUGUAGCGGUGAAAUGCGUAGAUAUCAGGAGGAACACCGGUGGCGAAGGCGGCCUGCUGGACUGCAACUGACGUUGAGGCCCGAAAGCGUGGGGAGCAAACAGGAUUAGAUACCCUUGUAGUC
This 440-nucleotide ribosomal RNA is filed under the name uncultured bacterium. RNAcentral's name for it is "partial 16S ribosomal RNA". It matches the Rfam family "Bacterial small subunit ribosomal RNA", at positions 338 to 795 of the family's 1533-position model. The record is from RNAcentral.